This 253-nucleotide ribosomal RNA is filed under the name uncultured bacterium. Its description in RNAcentral is "partial 16S ribosomal RNA". It matches the Rfam family "Bacterial small subunit ribosomal RNA", at positions 524 to 776 of the family's 1533-position model. The record is from RNAcentral.
UACGUAGGGUGCGAGCGUUAAUCGGAAUUACUGGGCGUAAAGCGUGCGCAGGCGGCUUUGCAAGACAGAUGUGAAAUCCCCGGGCUCAACCUGGGAACUGCAUUUGUGACUGCAAGGCUAGAGUACGGCAGAGGGGGAUGGAAUUCCGCGUGUAGCAGUGAAAGGCGUAGAUAUGCGGAGGAACACCAAUGGCGAAGGCAAUCCCCUGGGCCUGUACUGACGCUCAUGCACGAAAGCGUGGGGAGCAAACAGG